RNAcentral lists this unclassified non-coding RNA (733 nucleotides) under Hevea brasiliensis (rubber tree). Lineage: Eukaryota; Viridiplantae; Streptophyta; Magnoliopsida; Malpighiales; Euphorbiaceae. The record is from RNAcentral.
GAAACCAGUUAGUGUGGACACGCCUUUACUUGUCAUUGCACCAUGAAUCACUUCCCAGGAUCAUUAUACUCGGUAGCAGCCAGUAUUUGCAGACGAGUAACUUCAGAAUUUGCAAUAUCACUCGAUUUAUUACUUUGUAAUAUUUUUAAAAGAAUAGUUUUCCUAUCUUCGUCCGGGGAAAGCUCUAAUUAUACUUUUAUAAUUGCGUUUGAUAAGCCUCUAGGCAUUAGAAAUGUAGGAGAUGAGUAAUUUUUAAGAAGUCAAAAGUGUCAAAUUUUUAAGACAUUUUUGGAGUGAAUUUUGAAGCCUACCCCAGACACAAAAGCAAAAAAUUUUGUUGCUGAUUGGUUUGGAUCAUGUAAUAGAAACCACUAUGAAGAGCAUUCAGUAUCACGCAUUUAACAAUUAGAUGAAGAAUAUGGAAUGUUUUCAUUAAAUUAUAAAGGGAAGGGCUUAUGCGAAUACGACUGAUUUGCAUAUUCUCUUGUUCAGAAUUCAAAUACAUAAAUAUUUUCUCGUCUUAGGACAAACAUGUGAACUUUUAUAAUGGGGAACCAAAGCAAAACUAUGAAAUGGAGAGAUUAUAGAAUCCAUUAUCAAUUAGAGGGAUCGCACAUUAUUUUAUUGAUUAAUCAAAAUAAAAUAUGCCUUCAUUUUUCAAUAAAAAAUGAAAUGUCAAUAGCCUAGAAAAAUAACUUAAAAUAUUGUUUGGUACAAAUGUUAAAAAAAAAAA